AUGGUUAAGUUAGAAAGGGCGCACGGUGGAUGCCUUGGCACUAGGAGCCGAUGAAGGACGGGACGAACACCGAUAUGCUUCGGGGAGCUGUAAGCAAGCUUUGAUCCGGAGAUUUCCGAAUGGGGAAACCCACUGCUCGUAAUGGAGUAGUAUCCAUACUUGAAUACAUAGAGUAUGAGAAGGCAUACCCGGGGAACUGAAACAUCUAAGUACCCGGAGGAAGAGAAAGCAAAUGCGAUUCCCUGAGUAGCGGCGAGCGAAACGGGAACAGCCCAAACCAAGAGGCUUGCCUCUUGGGGUUGUAGGACACUCUAUACGGAGUUACAAAGGAAUGAUAUAAGCGAAGAGGUCUGGAAAGGCCCGCCAAAGAAGGUAACAGCCCUGUAACUGAAAUGUUAUUCUCUCCAGAGUGGAUCCUGAGUACGGCGGAACACGUGAAAUUCCGUCGGAAUCCGGGAGGACCAUCUCCCAAGGCUAAAUACUCCCUAGUGACCGAUAGUGAACCAGUACCGUGAGGGAAAGGUGAAAAGCACCCCGGAAGGGGAGUGAAAUAGAUCCUGAAACCGUGUGCCUACAAGUAGUCAGAGCCCGUUAACGGGUGAUGGCGUGCCUUUUGUAGAAUGAACCGGCGAGUUACGAUCCCGUGCAAGGUUAAGCAGAAGAUGCGGAGCCGCAGCGAAAGCGAGUCUGAAUAGGGCGCAUGAGUACGUGGUCGUAGACCCGAAACCAGGUGAUCUACCCAUGUCCAGGGUGAAGUUCAGGUAACACUGAAUGGAGGCCCGAACCCACGCACGUUGAAAAGUGCGGGGAUGAGGUGUGGGUAGGGGUGAAAUGCCAAUCGAACCUGGAGAUAGCUGGUUCUCUCCGAAAUAGCUUUAGGGCUAGCCUCAAGGUAAGAGUCUCGGAGGUAGAGCACUGAUUGGACUAGGGGCCCCUACCGGGUUACCGAAUUCAGUCAAACUCCGAAUGCCGAUGACUUAUCCUUGGGAGUCAGACUGCGAGUGAUAAGAUCCGUAGUCGAAAGGGAAACAGCCCAGACCGCCAGCUAAGGUCCCAAAGUAUACGUUAAGUGGAAAAGGAUGUGGAGUUGCUUAGACAACCAGGAUGUUGGCUUAGAAGCAGCCACCAUUUAAAGAGUGCGUAAUAGCUCACUGGUCGAGUGACUCUGCGCCGAAAAUGUACCGGGGCUAAACGUAUCACCGAAGCUGCGGACUGUUCUGACGAACAGUGGUAGGAGAGCGUUCUAAGGGCUGUGAAGCUAGACCGGAAGGACUGGUGGAGCGCUUAGAAGUGAGAAUGCCGGUAUGAGUAGCGAAAGACGGGUGAGAAUCCCGUCCACCGAAUGCCUAAGGUUUCCUGAGGAAGGCUCGUCCGCUCAGGGUUAGUCGGGACCUAAGCCGAGGCCGAAAGGCGUAGGCGAUGGACAACAGGUUGAUAUUCCUGUACCACCUCCUCACCAUUUGAGCAAUGGGGGGACGCAGGAGGAUAGGGUAAGCGCGGUAUUGGAUAUCCGCGUCCAAGCAGUUAGGCUGGGAAAUAGGCAAAUCCGUUUCCCGUAAAGGCUGAGCUGUGAUGGCGAGCGAAAUUUAGUAGCGAAGUUCCUGAUUCCACACUGCCAAGAAAAGCCUCUAGCGAGGUGAGAGGUGCCCGUACCGCAAACCGACACAGGUAGGCGAGGAGAGAAUCCUAAGGUGAUCGAGAGAACUCUCGUUAAGGAACUCGGCAAAAUGACCCCGUAACUUCGGGAGAAGGGGUGCUUCUUAGGGUGUUAAAGCCCCGAGAAGCCGCAGUGAAUAGGCCCAGGCGACUGUUUAGCAAAAACACAGGUCUCUGCGAAGCCGUAAGGCGAAGUAUAGGGGCUGACGCCUGCCCGGUGCUGGAAGGUUAAGAGGAGCGCUUAGCGUAAGCGAAGGUGCGAAUUGAAGCCCCAGUAAACGGCGGCCGUAACUAUAAC
RNAcentral lists this ribosomal RNA (1954 nucleotides) under Bacillus safensis. RNAcentral's name for it is "bacterial LSU rRNA". It matches the Rfam family "Bacterial large subunit ribosomal RNA", at positions 1 to 1946 of the family's 2925-position model. Lineage: Bacteria; Bacillati; Bacillota; Bacilli; Caryophanales; Bacillaceae. The record is from RNAcentral.